This 278-nucleotide ribosomal RNA is filed under the name uncultured Thalassovita sp. RNAcentral's name for it is "uncultured Thalassobius sp. partial 16S ribosomal RNA". It matches the Rfam family "Bacterial small subunit ribosomal RNA", at positions 29 to 334 of the family's 1533-position model. The record is from RNAcentral. Lineage: Bacteria; Pseudomonadati; Pseudomonadota; Alphaproteobacteria; Rhodobacterales; Roseobacteraceae.
AACGAACGCUGGCGGCACGCCUAACACAUGCAAGUCGAGCGCAUUCUUCGGGAUGAGCGGCGGACGGGUUAGUAACGCGUGGGAACAUGCCCUUCUCUAAGGAAUAGCCACUGGAAACGGUGAGUAAUACCUUAUACGCCCUUCGGGGGAAAGAUUUAUCGGAGAAGGAUUGGCCCGCGUUAGAUUAGAUAGUUGGUGGGGUAACGGCCUACCAAGUCGACGAUCUAUAGCUGGUUUGAGAGGAUGAUCAGCAACACUGGGACUGAGACACGGCCCAG